UAGGGAAUCUUCGGCAAUGGGGGGAACCCUGACCGAGCAACGCCGCGUGAGUGAAGAAGGUUUUCGGAUCGUAAAGCUCUGUUGUUAAGGAAGAACGAGUGUGAGAAUGGAAAGUUCAUGCUGUGACGGUACUUAACCAGAAAGGGACGGCUAACUACGUGCCAGCAGCCGCGGUAAUACGUAGGUCCCGAGCGUUGUCCGGAUUUAUUGGGCGUAAAGCGAGCGCAGGCGGUUAGAAAAGUCUGAAGUGAAAGGCAGUGGCUCAACCAUUGUAGGCUUUGGAAACUGUUUAACUUUAGUGCAGAAGGGGAGAGUGGAAUUCCAUGUGUAGCGGUGAAAUGCGUAGAUAUAUGGAGGAACACCGGUGGCGAAGGCGGCUCUCUAGUCUGUAACUGACGCUGAGGCUCGAAAGCGUGGGGAGCGAACAGG
This 429-nucleotide ribosomal RNA is filed under the name Bacteroidota bacterium. RNAcentral describes it as "Bacteroidetes bacterium partial 16S ribosomal RNA". It matches the Rfam family "Bacterial small subunit ribosomal RNA", at positions 355 to 776 of the family's 1533-position model. Lineage: Bacteria; Pseudomonadati; Bacteroidota. The record is from RNAcentral.